AGAACCUGAAACCCUGCACUUACAAGCUGUGGGAGCACAUUACUUGUGUGACCGCGUACUUUUUGUAGAACGGGCCAACGAGUUACGUUAAGUAGCAAGGUUAAGCACUUAAGGUGUGGAGCCGUAGCGAAAGCGAGUCUUAAAUGGGCGAUUAAGUUACUUGGCGUAGACCCGAAACCGGGCGACCUAUCCAUGAGCAGGUUGAAGCGAAAGUAAAAUUUCGUGGAGGACCGAACCCACGAGCGUUGAAAAGCUCGGGGAUGACUUGUGGAUAGCGGUGAAAUUCCAAUCGAGCCCGGAGAUAGCUGGUUCUCCCCGAAAUAGCUUUAGGGCUAGCCUCAAGCGUAGAGAAACGGAGGUAGAGCACUGAAUGUCCUAGGGGGUAUUGCACUUACCGAAGACUAUCAAACUCCGAAUGCCGUUUUCUUUUACUUGGGAGUCAGACUGUGGGUGAUAAGAUUCAUAGUCAAAAGGGCAACAGCCCAGAUCGUCAGCUAAGGUCCCUAAAUGUACGUUAAGUGGUAAAGGAUGUGGGAUUGCACAGACAACCAGGAUGUUGGCUUAGAAGCAGCCACUCAUUUAAAGAGUGCGUAAUAGCUCACUGGUCGAGUGAUCCUGCGCCGAAAAUUUCCGGGGCUAAAACGUACUACCGAAGCUACGGCAUCAUUUAUGAUGGGUAGGGGAGCUUCGUAUGCAGGCUGAAGCAUGACCGUAAGGACAUGUGGACAGUAUACGAGUGAGAAUGUUGGCAUGAGUAGCGAGACGUGGGUGAGAAUCCCACGGGCCGUAAACCCAAGGUUUCCAGGGGAAGGUUCGUCCGCCCUGGGUUAGUCGGGACCUAAGCCGAGGCCGAAAGGCGUAGGUGAUGGACAACAGGUUGAUAUUCCUGUACCGCCAAUAAGCGUUUGAGAGAUGGAGUGACACAGUAGGAUAAGCUAACCGUACUGUUGGUUAUGUACGGCUAAGCAUUGAGGCAGUCUAAAUAGGCAAAUCCGUUUAGACAAUGCUAGGAUGUGAUGGGGAAGCCCUUCGGGGCGAAGUAGCUGAUUUCACACUGUCAAGAAAAGCUUCUAUCGAGUUUAAAGGCGCCCGUACCGUAAACCGACACAGGUGGGUGAGGAGAGUAUCCUAAGGCCAGCGAGAGAACUAUUGUUAAGGAACUCGGCAAAAUGACCCCGUAACUUAGGGAGAAGGGGUGCCUGUCUAUGACAGGCCGCAGAGAAUAGGCCCAAGCGACUGUUUACCAAAAACACAGGUUUCUGCUAAGUCGCAAGACGAUGUAUAGGAGCUGACGCCUGCCCGGUGCUGGAAGGUUAAGGGGAUCUGUUAGAGCAAUCGAAGCAGUGAACUUAAGCCCCAGUAAACGGCGGCCGUAACUAUAACGGUCCUAAGGUAGCGAAAUUCCUUGUCGGGUAAGUUCCGACCCGCACGAAAGGCGUAACGAUUUGGGCACUGUCUCAACAAUAGACUCGGUGAAAUUGUAAUCCCGGUGAAGAUGCCGGGUACCUGCGACAGGACGGAAAGACCCCAUGGAGCUUUACUGUAGCUUGACGUUGGGUCUUGGUACUACAUGUACAGGAUAGGUGGGAGACUAUGAAGCAUGGACGCCAGUCUGUGUGGAGUCAUCCUUGGGAUACCACCCUUGUAGUACUGGGAUCCUAACCAUAGGCCUUGAAUCAGGUCUUGGAACACCGUCAGGUGGGCAGUUUGACUGGGGCGGUCGCCUCCUAAAAAGUAACGGAGGCGCUCAAAGGUUUCCUCAGCACGGUCGGAAAUCGUGCGAAGAGUGUAAAGGCAAAAGGAAGCUUGAUUGCAAGACAUACAGGUCGAGCAAGGACGAAAGUCGGACUUAGUGAUCCGGUGGUACCGCAUGGAAGGGCCAUCGCUCAACGGAUAAAAGCUACCCUGGGGAUAACAGGCUUAUCUCCCCCAAGAGU
Molecule: ribosomal RNA, 1937 nt
Filed under: human gut metagenome
Description: bacterial LSU rRNA
Rfam family: Bacterial large subunit ribosomal RNA
Source: RNAcentral